This 253-nucleotide ribosomal RNA is filed under the name uncultured bacterium. RNAcentral's name for it is "partial 16S ribosomal RNA". It matches the Rfam family "Archaeal small subunit ribosomal RNA", at positions 474 to 727 of the family's 1478-position model. The record is from RNAcentral.
UACCAGCACCCCGAGUGGUCGGGACGAUUAUUGGGCCUAAAGCAUCCGUAGCCGGUUCUACAAGUCUUCCGUUAAAUCCACCUGCUUAACAGAUGGGCUGCGGAGGAUACUAUAGAGCUAGGAGGCGGGAGAGGCAAGCGGUACUUAGAGGGUAGGGGUAAAAUCCGUUGAUCCACUGAAGACCACCAGUGGCGAAGGCGGCUUGCCAGAACGCACUCGACGGUGAGGGAUGAAAGCUGGGGGAGCAAACCGG